Acanthosepion pharaonis is the source of this 112-nucleotide non-coding RNA. The record is from the annotation of a GenBank genome assembly. NCBI's taxonomy places the organism in Eukaryota, Metazoa, Mollusca, Cephalopoda, Sepiida, Sepiidae.
CGAUAAUAACACAUUGAAUCAUCGCUUCUCGUACGAUGACAGAAGUUAAGAGAUGUCGAGCCUGGCCAGUACCAAGAUGGGUAAACGCUUGGGAAUAUCACGUGUUGCAAGC